CCUACGGGAGGCAGCAGUGGGGAAUAUUGCACAAUGGGGGAAACCCUGAUGCAGCGACGCCGCGUGAGCGAUGAAGUAUUUCGGUAUGUAAAGCUCUAUCAGCAGGGAAGUAAAUGACGGUACCUGACUAAGAAGCCCCGGCUAACUACGUGCCAGCAGCCGCGGUAAUACGUAGGGAGCAAGCGUUAUCCGGAUUUACUGGGUGUAAAGGGAGCGUAGACGGCGGUGCAAGCCAGAUGUGAAAGCCCGGGGCUCAACCCCGGGACUGCAUUUGGAACUGUGCUGCUAGAGUGUCGGAGAGGCAGGCGGAAUGCCUGGUGUAGCGGUGAAAUGCGUAGAUAUUAGGCGGAACACCAGUGGCGAAGGCGGCCUGCUGGACGAUGACUGACGUUGAGGCACGAAAGCGUGGGUAUCGAACAGGAUUAGAUACCCCAGUAGUC
This 440-nucleotide ribosomal RNA is filed under the name uncultured bacterium. RNAcentral's name for it is "partial 16S ribosomal RNA". It matches the Rfam family "Bacterial small subunit ribosomal RNA", at positions 338 to 795 of the family's 1533-position model. The record is from RNAcentral.